UAAACAUGUAAUUAUUUCAACUCACUAUAUUUAUUUCUUAAUUAAAACAAGUAGGCCACGAUUCUCAGUUUGUAGCUUUAGUUUCUGUAACUCACUUCACUCUGUAACCACAUGAAUCAUAAAAUGAGUAAUAAAAAUCAUGUUCUCUACAAUGCAACUAUAAGUUUUUAUUUAGUUUUAUCUCAGUAAAUUGUUAUCUGGGAACUGGGAAGGGAAAAAAAAUUGUUUUUCACUUAGGUAGAUGCUUCAUAACACCAAUAUCAUUGAGAAAAAAAAAUCUUGAGAUCUGGUCAGUUGAUCAGAGGGAUUUAACGCCACUACUUUCUUACAUUCGUGCAUCUCCUUUCUAAGUUCACUUUGAAUUUACCAAAUACUGGCUCUCUUCAUUCUUCCUUUUUGUUUCAGGUUUAGUGAAUUUAUCAGUUAUUGAAUUCUGUAUGCAGGAACUUUGAAUUUGGAAACAGAAAGUUUUUAGUGAAUUUACAGCAAAUGCAAGAAGAUAAAUAGAAGAAUCAGAUAAUCUGAAGAAAUUUCUGUGAAAAUCUGAUGAUGGGAUGUAUUGCUUGGAUAGUUUCUGGAUUUGAGAAGCUGAUGUAGCUAAGUUCCUGAGGCUGGAGAUGAAGUUUUUGAGGUACGUCCUACCUUGGCUGAUGCUCAUCUAGGAGGUGAUGAUUUCGACAAGGCAAGCUCUACAACGUCUCAUAGAGACUGCUGAGAAAGAGAAGAUGGAGCUGUCAUCUCUGACUUAGACCAAUAAUAUUAGUUUACCUUUCAUUAUCGCCAUUUGGAUGGCCCAAAACACAUUGACACCACGCUGACUAGUGUCAAAUUUGAAGAACUGUGUUCAGAUUUGUUAGACAGUCUAAUUGCCUGCUUAAGUUCACUGGAUUACAACUCAUAAGCUUUCAGCACCAGUUGAAACUUCCAUGAGAGAAACUUCAAAGAUAUGGAUGUAAUUCAACUUGUAUCCCUGCUGUUUAGGAGCUGAAAAAUAUGGAUGAAGUUUUUGUUCUUGGGGCUGUAGUUCAGAAGGACUUGAAACUUUGAGUGGUGUCAACUUCACCAACUUCCAAAUCAGAGUUGUUCUCCACCGCAGUAGAUGGACAGACCAGUGAAGAGAUUAAUGUCUAUCAGGGUGAGAGAGAGGUAUUUAUCUCUCUGAAAAAAGGGUGAGAGAGAGUUUGUGAGGGACAACCAGUGCUAGCACCAUGCCAAGUGAUGGGGUGGAUAGGAUGGUUAAAGAAGCUGAAAAUUUUGCAAAAGGAAGACCAAGGAAAAGAGGGAUGCCAUAGACACAAAGAAUCAAGCUAACUCAGUUUUGUACCAAACUGGAAGCAACUAAAAGAGCUGGGAGAAAAUGUUCCUAGCUAGACAAGGAGAAUGUAGAGGCUAAAGUGAAUGAGGUCAUGGAUGCCAUCAUUGGUGGUUCUACUCAAGCCAUUAAAGAUGCAAUGGCUGUCCUGAAUCAAGAAAUUAUGUAACUGUGGUAGUCAAUGUUGAUGUGAAUUUGAAUUGGUUCAGAACCUUAGGAACAAGUACAAGAAGUCCAUGGCUUAGGUGAUUAUCUUGUUUUGUGUUUCAUUCUUUUUUCCCUUUGCAUAAAAAUUUCAUUCUAGAUAUGAUUCACAUUUGUUUGUUCAUUCUAAUGAUUUCUGCCUUUAUAUAAACUAGUGGUACUCUAUCUCUAUUUGGUCAUCUCUUAUAAAGUAGAAAGAGGAAGGCAAUAUUUCCCAUGUGGGACAACAAAUUUGCCUAAGGUUACAACAUGGUUUAGCCCUUGGCCUUUGAAGCAAAAAUUGUCCCCACAAUCAUUAUUGAGAACUACCCUCUAGGAAGCUGUUUUAUGUUCAGUUUGGACAUGCAGAAGUGCUGUGAUGGAUUUUACUUUAAGCACGCUAUUUGGAUACAAAGUCUACUUGCCUGCUUAAGUUCACUGGACUACGACUGCAAUUAACUUUCUCAUUGGCUUUGAGCACCAGUUGAAACUUCCUUAAGAGAUACAAAGCUUUACUUCAAAGAUAUUGAUGAGGUGGAUAGGAUGGUUAACGAAGUUGAAAAUUUUGCAAAAGGAAGACAAGGAAAAGAGAGAUGCCAUAGACACAAAGAACCAAGCUAACUCAGUUUUGUACCAUACUAGAAGCAACUAAAAUAGCUAGGAGACAAUGUUCCUAGCUAGACAAGGAGAAUGUAGAGGCUAAAGUGAAUGAGAUCAAGGAUGCUAUCUCUGGUGGAUCUACCCAAGCCAUUAAAGAAGCAAUGGCUGUCCUGAAUCAAGAAAUUAUGUAACCGUGGUAGUCAGUGUUGAUAUGAAUUUGAAUUGGAUUGUCUAUUAGCUUUUUUCGGAUUGACUUCUUUGCAUGGACGGCAACUAUUGUUUAGCCUUGAAUUAUGUUAGAGUUGAGAGAGAACUCUUUGAUAUAGAGUUAUUUGGGUGUAUUGGGGUUUGGGUUUGUGAGAGUGGUUCUACACCACCUUUGUACUCUCCAUAUUUGUUAGUGAAACUCUCUCCUUGUCACCGCCCGUGGAUGUAGGCCAAAGGCCGAACCACGUAAA
Long non-coding RNA from Quercus robur (English oak), 2553 nucleotides. RefSeq lists it as uncharacterized. The transcript has 11 exons. NCBI's taxonomy places the organism in Eukaryota, Viridiplantae, Streptophyta, Magnoliopsida, Fagales, Fagaceae. The record is from RefSeq and is a predicted model, not a curated record.